Long non-coding RNA from Oncorhynchus tshawytscha (Chinook salmon), 1679 nucleotides. Lineage: Eukaryota; Metazoa; Chordata; Actinopteri; Salmoniformes; Salmonidae. The record is from Ensembl.
CAAAACCAAAGAAUGCUGCAGGAUUCUCCGGAUGUAGAAAUGAUAUUUUCACAUUUUUAUUUCCACUGAUCUCCUCUAGCAGUUUAACAUGAUUUAAAAACAUACCGUUAACCAGAGAUAUUGAAGCAGGGGGGAAGACAACAAAACAAAAUCCAUACAAAAUGGCGUCUACUCAUCAAGCACAACCAAAUCUACAGUCAUGUCUAGAUGGGAUACAGCUUGUGGAAUUGAAGUCCAAAGUAAUUUAACCUAAUUCUCCCAGCCUGCUACGUUAAUUCUUCCAACCUGCUUCGAAAACUACAUUUUGAUAAAAGCUGUAUCCCUUCUAGACCUAGGGGCUCUCAUUCGUUCCUACUUCCUCCCCUCCCGGGUGUACGUUUUGGGUUUUUGCCCUAGCGCAACACAGCCGAUUCAAAUGACCAACUCAUCAUCAAGCUUUGAUGAUUUGAAUCAGCUGUGUAGCUGGGCAAAAACCCAAAACGUACAGGAAGUAGGAAUGAAUGAGAACCCCUAGGUCAAGACAAUCACCACCUCCUCAUCGAUUCUUCUCGUUUUUAAAUAGGUUCAUAAAAAUACAAUAUUUUAAUGGAGGAUCUAGAACAGGGGUCUCCAACCCUGGUUCUGGAGAUACCCUCUCCAACCCUGGUUCUGGAGAUACCCUCUCCAACCCUGGUCCUGGAGAGACCCUCCUGUAGGUUUUAACUCCAACCCUGGUCCUGGAGAGAGACCCUCCUGUAGGUUUUAACUCCAACCCUGUUCCUGGAGAUACCCUCCUGUAGGUUUUAACUCCAACCCUGGUCCUGGAGAGAGACCCUCCUGUAGGUUUUAACACCAACCCUGGUCCUGGAGAGAGACCCUCCUGUAGGUUUUAACUCCAACCCUGGUCCUGGAGAGAGACCCUCCUGUAGGUUUUAACUCCAACCCUGGUUCUGGAGAGACCCUCUCCAACCCUGUUCCUGGAGAGAGACCCUCCUGUAGGUUUUCACUCCAACCCUGUUCCUGGAGAGAGACCCUCCUGUAGGUUUUAACUCCAUUAAUAUCAGGUAGAUCAGGGUUGGAGCAAAAACCUACAAGACAGUAGGACUCCAAGAACAGGGUUGGAGAACCCCAUAGAGAUAGAUAGAUGACUCAUCUUUGUAUCUGUGCCAAGAUAGGUGAGCAGGGCCAUUUUGAAGUAGUACGUUUUCUUCUUCACGAUUGGCUGAUUCCUCCUGAUGACCCGGUUGGACUCCAACUUAAUUUAUUUAACUACAUAAAAAUGGUGUAAGUCCUCAAUGGCGCUGUCCAUGUUAAAUGGCCUUUUGGCCACUAGAGGCCUCUAUCAUUCUCUAUGGAGAACCUUGAUGUAGACUAGAGACGAGAUGUUUCAUAGAGGUCAGACUCCGAGGUCAUGGUUAGAGAGUUCAGAGGGGGAUUUCUCCAAACAAAAAAUGUCACACAGACUUUACGCAACUAACUUGACGUCGUGUCGUAGUUUACCACUGGGCUACGUUUCUCAUCAACCACAUGAUCAACCAACAGCAUCAACCACAUGAUCAAACAACAGCAUCAACCACAUGAUCAAACAACAGCAUCAACCACAUGAUCAAACAACAGCAUCAACCACAUGAUCAACCAACAGCAUCAACCACAUGAUCAACCAACAGCAUCAACCACAUGAUCAAACAACAGCAUCAACC